Non-coding RNA from Solanum tuberosum (potato), 80 nucleotides. NCBI's taxonomy places the organism in Eukaryota, Viridiplantae, Streptophyta, Magnoliopsida, Solanales, Solanaceae. The record is from Rfam.
CAAUGCAACAUACUCAUCACCACAUCUUUCAUCUCAUGUGCAAAAGAUGAAAGUUACGGAGAUGAGUAUGGUGCAUUGGA